CCCCCCCCCCCCCCCCAGGAGAAGCAGACAGCAUUUGAAAAGGAUGUGGAAGCAUCCAGAAAAAAAUCAGUUUCUGCAAAGCUGUCAGGAAACACUGGCAUCUUAUACACGGGCUUUGAAGUCAGUGGCGACACCGUCAGUCAAAGGAGACAGAAUUAUUCCCGUUUGCUGAUUAUGAGGAACAAAGAAGCUUUCAAAAAGAAGGUUCUUUCAGCGGUGGAUAAAAACAGGGGCAAAAUGGAUGUCAAGAAUACGCUUUGCUGUAGAGCAGUGGUCCUCAAGCUUUUGGAGCCGUGACCCCCCAAAAAAUGUCCCUUGUGCUUUAACCAGGUUCAACGAGUAUAAUGACUACUGGAAGAGAAACAACAUAAUGGAUUCAAAAAAAUAUGGAGGAACUCAGCAUGCUUCCUCAAAGGGCUCUAGACAGGAGAAGAAGAGAGCAUUUGAAAAGGAUGUGGAAGCAUCCAGAAAAAAAUCAUUUUCUGCAACGCUGUCAGGAAACACUGGCAUCUUAUACACGGGCUUUGAAGUCAUUGACGACACCGUCAGUCAAAGGAGACAGAAUUAUUCCCAUUUGGUGAUGAUGAGGCACAAAGAAGCUUUGAAAAAGGAGGCUCUUUCGACGGUGGAUAAAAACAGUGGCAAAAUGGAUGUCAAGCACAAAACGGACAUCAAGGAUCAGGAAGAGGUUCUUCAUGCUCUUUAUAAAAAGUCCAUCGAACAUUUCAACAAUGCCAACAAAAAGUUUGCAAUGCAUUCAUUGCUAACCAUGAUGGAAGAUCUGAGCUGCUCGGAUAAGAAAGAACACCAAGCAGAUGUCGACUCUGCAAAACAGGAGCACCAGCAGAACAGAAGCCAAAGCCCGAGCAUCAGCCCAAUGGAGUUGGGUGAACACAAAGAGGAACAGCAGCAGAGCAGCAGCACCAGCUCAUUGGAGUUGGGUGAACACAAAGAGGAACAGCAGCAGAGCAGCAGCACCAGCCCAUUGGAGUUGGGUGAACACAAAGAGGAACAGCAGCAGAGCAGCAGCACCAGCCCAUUGGAGUUGGGUGAACACAAAGAGGAACAGCAGCAGAGCAGCAGCAUCAGCCCAAUAGAGUUGGGUGAACUCAAAGAGGAACAGCAGCAGAGCAGCAGCACCAGCCCAUUGGAGUUCGGUGAAUGCUUGACCAGGGUGGCUGAACAAAUGGUGCUUCAUCCAAAGGAGUCUACAAUCGACCGUGAAAGCCCAGAGGAUGAAGCGUACAAUUACAAAGCUCCAUUGGAAAUUCAAAACAGUGGAUUACUUGAACCAGAUGCCAACUCUUCAAACGAGGAGCAAAGCAGCAGCAGCAGCAGCCCAAAGGGGUUUUGCAGAGGAGUGCUGUUUUUGGCAAAACAACAAAAGUCUAUCCCAAAGAAGGGAAUUGUAUUGCGCCAGGGAAAAAAAUAUUCUUUUGUCAAAACGAAGUGUGAAGAGGAGAAGAAAACACCAGUAGAAGAAUGUGCCACCAGCUCGGGGAUCGACUCGAAUGACAGCAGCAGCGACACGAGUCAAGACAAACAGUCAUCAACUGACCGUGAACAAAAGGACACCAGUGAUGACAGUGACGUGAACACUGACAAAGUGAAGUCAAGGAAGAAGCGUUCUUUACAAAAUGGUUUGAGAAAGAAGGUCGUCAAACUUCAGCAAACACCCUUAAUCAUCGGAAGAAGAAGUCAAGAGUGA
Molecule: long non-coding RNA, 1708 nt
Organism: Eptatretus burgeri (inshore hagfish)
Lineage: Eukaryota; Metazoa; Chordata; Myxini; Myxiniformes; Myxinidae
Source: Ensembl